AAAUCGAAAUUUGCAUGGGAUAGACAAGGAAUCCAUGCAUUUUGGAGGAGAAAUUAUCCCCGAUAAAAAAGUCAGAAAAGGAGGGGGUAGUAGUGGCCAUACUUCAGGUGCCUGUGCAGUGUUGACUUCUUCAAUAUCAUCCUCUGUUAAAGAACGUUAUUCGCUUGCCGUGCAUCAUUCCUGACUAGUUUAAACUGAUAAUUGUUGAAUCACAAAAUCGGGAAGUUCGUCAGAAAAUAAAAAUCAGUCCAUAUCCGUUAAAUGCAGUGAGAUAUUUCGUUGAACAAAACGGUAGGCCUACACUAUUUUCACAUUGCGUUGUUUACAUCGAUGGGUCGUUGUGACGUCACAAACACACAUAAUCAAGAACGAUAAGCGGAUAACAAAUUCAUUCUAUGUACAAGUUUACAGCUUUAUUUCUUAUCAAUCCAAGGACAAUAAUUUUUUAUUAAAUGCUGUUUGACCUUCAUUCAUACUCAUCUUUAUGAUUUUAAAGUAAAAUACCAUUGUUAGAAAUCGUUUCAUAUGACCUUUAAUUUUGAGAUGAUCCCCAGUAUGGUAGAAACAGUUUUGAAUCCGUGGCUCAGACGUCGUGCUUAAUCUGUCCACCUUACGAGGGGAAAAAUAGUGCGCUUAUAAACCAUUAAUAUACAGUACAAAAGGUCAUUUUUAUAAAAGAAACCAUGGAUGAAAAUUGUUUUAAAAGGGAUUAUAGUUUAUAAUUAAUAAUGGUUUUGCCAUUCUGUGGUAGAGCAUCCUUACUCGUCUGGAAUAAUAAAAUGUUUAAUUUAUAUUACUACAUGUGUUCAGUGUUUUUAAUUUUACGAUAAAUAAUAUCAGCUUAAUAUCUGCAAUAAAUACACAAACAGGUUUCCAUAGUUGGUAUUGAACAACUUUUAAUAUUUGAGUAUUUCCCUUAUGGCCUGCUAUAGUUUAGGUUGGUUACGGAUUGUUUUUCAUGGUUCAUCGGUUCGUUUCUUAAUUAUUGGUCACAUGACAGUUCUUGGUCAGUGUAAGAUUCAGUUUGAAUUUAGAAAUUGAAUUGGGCAGUUGUUUCAUACUUUAGUUGAAACUUUGGACAUUUGGACUUACAGACUACAAUCUACUAAUCAGAUAUACACCAGAUCUACACAUUACUAUAGAUCCAUCCGGAUUCUAAUACCACAUAUUUGGUAAGAGUGUGUUAUGUAUUGUUUAGGUGGUGUUUGAUAUGUUUGUCUUGCCAUUAUAUGUUCUGGACAGGUUCUUAGUUUAAAUGCAGAAUAUUAAGUAAAUUUGAUUAAUUAUGAUUUUAUAUUAAUGAUG
This is a long non-coding RNA of Ostrea edulis (European flat oyster), 1305 nucleotides long. RefSeq lists it as uncharacterized. Lineage: Eukaryota; Metazoa; Mollusca; Bivalvia; Ostreida; Ostreidae. The transcript is spliced from 2 exons. The record is from RefSeq and is a predicted model, not a curated record.